This 484-nucleotide ribosomal RNA is filed under the name uncultured bacterium. Its description in RNAcentral is "partial 16S ribosomal RNA". It matches the Rfam family "Bacterial small subunit ribosomal RNA", at positions 30 to 507 of the family's 1533-position model. The record is from RNAcentral.
AUUGAACGCUGGCGUUUUGCUUUACACCUGCAAGUUGAACGGCAGCACUGGGCCAGCCCUGGUGGCGCGUGGUGAACGGGUGAGUAAUACCUCGGAACGUGCCCGGUAGUCGGUGUUAACGUUGCGGAAGUUCCGCUUAUCCCCCAUACGCUCCGCAGCUGUACGCGCUGCUCCUUCUCGCCUCGCUCCAUCGGACCGCCGGCUGUCAGUUUAGGUAGUUGGUGGCGUGAAUGCCUAGCACACCGACGAUCGUUAGCCGUUCUGAGAGGAUGAUCAGCCACACUGUGACUGAGAAACGGCCCAGACUCCUGCGGGAGGCAGUGGUGGGGAAGUUUGGACAAUGGGUGCAAGCCUGAUCCAGCCAUACCGCGUGCAUGACGAAGGCCUUCGGGUUGUAAACUGCUUUUGUACGGAACGAAAAGGCUCGGGCUAAUACCUGGGGCUCAUGACGGUACCGUAAGAAUAAGCACCGGCUAACUACGUG